GGCUCAGGAUGAACGCUGGCGGCGUGCUUAACACAUGCAAGUCGAACGGUGAACACGGAGCUUGCUCUGUGGGAUCAGUGGCGAACGGGUGAGUAACACGUGAGCAACCUGCCCCUGACUCUGGGAUAAGCGCUGGAAACGGCGUCUAAUACUGGAUAUGUGACGUGACCGCAUGGUCUGCGUCUGGAAAGAAUUUCGGUUGGGGAUGGGCUCGCGGCCUAUCAGCUUGUUGGUGAGGUAAUGGCUCACCAAGGCGUCGACGGGUAGCCGGCCUGAGAGGGUGACCGGCCACACUGGGACUGAGACACGGCCCAGACUCCUACGGGAGGCAGCAGUGGGGAAUAUUGCACAAUGGGCGCAAGCCUGAUGCAGCAACGCCGCGUGAGGGACGACGGCCUUCGGGUUGUAAACCUCUUUUAGCAGGGAAGAAGCGAAAGUGACGGUACCUGCAGAAAAAGCGCCGGCUAACUACGUGCCAGCAGCCGCGGUAAUACGUAGGGCGCAAGCGUUAUCCGGAAUUAUUGGGCGUAAAGAGCUCGUAGGCGGUUUGUCGCGUCUGCUGUGAAAUCCGGAGGCUCAACCUCCGGCCUGCAGUGGGUACGGGCAGACUAGAGUGCGGUAGGGGAGAUUGGAAUUCCUGGUGUAGCGGUGGAAUGCGCAGAUAUCAGGAGGAACACCGAUGGCGAAGGCAGAUCUCU
This 698-nucleotide ribosomal RNA is filed under the name Microbacterium maritypicum. Its description in RNAcentral is "bacterial SSU rRNA". It matches the Rfam family "Bacterial small subunit ribosomal RNA", at positions 21 to 730 of the family's 1533-position model. Lineage: Bacteria; Bacillati; Actinomycetota; Actinomycetes; Micrococcales; Microbacteriaceae. The record is from RNAcentral.